GGAUGUGAACGUGACCUGACUGUAAGCCUCCACUUCUCACUGAUAAUCAAGGUUUAUACUUUUGAUCUGAUGAGCUGCACUGGGCUUCUCCUUCCUUCUUUACUUUUCCAGGAAGAUCCCUCCUGAAGUUCCACUGCUGACAGUAAAAGGUGACCUUCUCAGGUACAGGAGGCUGUUCCUCGAAGGGGAGAAGCAGCAGUGGGGCUC
RNAcentral lists this small nuclear RNA (207 nucleotides) under Canis lupus familiaris (dog). Its description in RNAcentral is "7SK RNA". It matches the Rfam family "7SK RNA", at positions 1 to 187 of the family's 331-position model. Rfam says of the family: 7SK was discovered as an abundant small nuclear RNA in the mid-70s but a possible function has only recently been suggested. RNAcentral also lists the same sequence under 1 other name. Lineage: Eukaryota; Metazoa; Chordata; Mammalia; Carnivora; Canidae. The record is from Rfam by way of RNAcentral.